CCUUUGAUAGCUCAGCUGGUAAAGCAGAGGACUAUAGAUCCUUAGGUUGCUGGUUCAACUCCAGCUUGAAGGA
Non-coding RNA from Pelodiscus sinensis (Chinese soft-shelled turtle), 73 nucleotides. The record is from the annotation of a RefSeq genome assembly. Lineage: Eukaryota; Metazoa; Chordata; Testudines; Trionychidae.